This 1976-nucleotide long non-coding RNA is filed under the name Triticum aestivum (bread wheat). RNAcentral describes it as "long non-coding RNA (TAES_LNC024049)". Lineage: Eukaryota; Viridiplantae; Streptophyta; Magnoliopsida; Poales; Poaceae. The record is from RNAcentral.
CAAACAACAAAUCGUUUCCAUACUAACAGACUACUGUAAUAAUAAAGGAAACACAUAUGAGAAGAAGCGCAAUAGGGAUGUCAUUUAUUCCUCAGAAAACAUAGCGAACAUUUAUUCAAUCCUGAGAUGGUCUAGAGGGAAGAGUGUCUGCAAGAAAAACACCAAAUUAAAAGAGAAUCCGACAUUGUAUUCAGUAAUAAAAAUAAUCUGUGUAUACAUUCGUAUGAACAGUAAUUUUACCUAUUUAUGGCAGAAAAUCAUCAACCUGGCAUCCUUACACUACUUUUUUGGGUUCGACGAUAGCCUGUUGUAAAUCAUUGCUGACAACUGUGGGAUUCACUACCAAGACAAUGUGCUUCCUAUUGCUUGAGCGAGCCCAACCAUACAAAACCAUGAGCAACCAAUGAACCUUUCUUGCAAAAACAGAUGAACCUUCCUAUGCUAAAAUAGAUCAAUUAAAAGCGUGAUAGUAAUAAGUCAACAUUUUUUAAUGUAAGGAAUCGAUUCAUCAAACCUCCUUCAGUCCUGCAAACAUCCGCCACAAAAUCACAACACUUACCUUUGAAGAGACCACUCAUAGCAGCAACCUCAUUAGAACCAAUCAAAUCUGCUUUUUGUGACCUAUGGAGAUAAAUUUCGCUCCAUGGAGGAUCAUAUCAAAGGGUAACAUAAUCUGAAGAAUCGUAUAAAUACCUAUCAGCAGUCCAGCUCCGAUCCUCUUGAAUGUUGUUCUGUCGCAUGGAAACAAUGUCGUAGAGCACAUUUGUUUUACUGAAUUGAAUCGCAUUGAGACCUACCAAAAAGGAACCAACUAAAUGAGAGAUGCACGUAGCCAUGAUGCAUAGAUCAUGAUAAUAAAGAAGGCCUAUGUCUGAUAAUAUCAGCUAUAUGCAUAAAUCAACAGUAGAUGUACACUUUUGCAGUUUUUCUUGACUGUAUUCUGUACAUCACCAAGCAUAGCACUCCACGCAGGGUCCCAAACAACCAACGCACAUGCCUGGGGCUGGCCACGCUCCUUGCACACAUCAACAACGUCUACAUAUGUCUUUAGCAAAGCUGCUGAUGAAACAUGCCCUUUUUAGAAAGACAACACUGCUUUGCACCACGAACAGAGGCAUCCUAACAUAGGAAGAUGCAAACUUGUAUAAAGACCUUGCUUUCUUCCCAAUAAACAACAAAAUGGGAAAACACCCAUCUAUAAAAACAGGUCUAUUAAAUCAAUAGAAAUUACUUGCUGAAAACCCCUAAAACAACUACACUCUAUGUUGUCAGAAUGUCAUCUAUCUGAAGCCAAAGAAUGAGCUGGACAGACCAUGGUAAACAAGGCAUGAAAUAAACACAACCCACUUUCUAAUAGCAAAAAACUAACUUUUUCACGGUUCAAAUUAGGAAAAUCAAAUCAAAUUGAAGCCAUAAUAAUCAACGGUAUCUCAUAAUCCUUUUUUUGCUGAAAAAUCCUAAAAGGACCAAAUCACGCAUCUGAAUUGAAUGGUAGGAUGAAUGGACUCACAAACUAAUACUGACCAGCAUCCCUUGUGCAGUGCGCAUAGCGACCGCCAUGUAUCCCCACGCACCGGAGUCAUUUACCUGUACAACAGCAACGCUAAAAAAGAACUACAGAAAUCACAAACCACCAAGCCGACAGAAGAAGAAGGACGACGGAAACGCAAACCAACCAUCAGACGCACCCCAGAACAUCCCUCGCAAGAAAUUGAUGCAGAGGAAGAAGAAACCGGCAACAGCAGACCCGCCGCCCACCCCUGGCGAAGAGGCAGGCAUCUGACCCCCUCCCUCCAAAGAGGCAGGCACCGAACACGGAGCCGAAGACCACCAAACACCCCGCUCACCAAACACACCACCGCCGCCAAGUCCAAAGGAUAAAAGGAAGGACGACGACCCUCGUAGCAGUAAAAGGAAAAACGCCACCUACACGCGGGCGCGUACACAAGCGCCACGAAUAUAUACAAGCCAACCGA